CAUGCUAGUCGCACGAGUUCAGACUCGUGGCAUAUAGCUCAGUAACACGUGGCCAAACUACCCUACAGACCGCGAUAACCUCGGGAAACUGAGGCCAAUAGCGGAUAUAACUCUCAUGCUGGAGUGCCGAGAGUUAGAAACGUUCCGGCGCUGUAGGAUGUGGCUGCGGCCGAUUAGGUAGAUGGUGGGGUAACGGCCCACCAUGCCGAUAAUCGGUACAGGUUGUGAGAGCAAGAGCCUGGAGACGGUAUCUGAGACAAGAUACCGGGCCCUACGGGGCGCAGCAGGCGCGAAACCUUUACACUGCACGACAGUGCGAUAGGGGGACUCCGAGUGUGAGGGCAUAUAGCCCUCGCUUUUCUGUACCGUAAGGUGGUACAGGAACAAGGACUGGGCAAGACCGGUGCCAGCCGCCGCGGUAAUACCGGCAGUCCAAGUGAUGGCCGAUAUUAUUGGGCCUAAAGCGUCCGUAGCUUGCUGUGUAAGUCCAUUGGGAAAUCGACCAGCUCAACUGGUCGGCGUCCGGUGGAAACUACACAGCUUGGGGCCGAGAGACUCAACGGGUACGUCCGGGGUAGGAGUGAAAUCCUGUAAUCCUGGACGGACCACCAAUGGGGAAACCACGUUGAGAGACCGGACCCGACAGUGAGGGACGAAAGCCAGGGUCUCGAACCGGAUUAGAUACCCGGGUAGUCCUGGCUGUAAACAAUGCUCGCUAGGUAUGUCACGCGCCAUGA
RNAcentral lists this ribosomal RNA (737 nucleotides) under uncultured Haloarcula sp. RNAcentral describes it as "bacterial SSU rRNA". It matches the Rfam family "Archaeal small subunit ribosomal RNA", at positions 50 to 788 of the family's 1478-position model. Lineage: Archaea; Methanobacteriati; Methanobacteriota; Halobacteria; Halobacteriales; Haloarculaceae. The record is from RNAcentral.